GAUGAACGCUGGCGGCGUGCCUAAUACAUGCAAGUCGAGCGAACGGACGCGACGCUUGCUUUUCUCAUGUUAGCGGCGGACGGGUGAGUAACACGUGGAUCCCCUCCCUAUAAUACUGGUAUAACUUCGGGAAACCGGCGCUAAUCCCGGAUAAUAUUUUGAACCACAUGGUUCAAAGGUGAAAGACGGUCUUGCUGUCACUUCUCGCUGGAUCCGCGCUGCAUUAGCUAGUUGGUAAGGUAACGGCUCACCAAGGCAACGAUGCCUAGCCGAACUGAGAGGGUGAUAGCCGACACGGGAGCGGAGACACGGUCCAGACGCCUAAGGGAGGCAGCAGUAGGGAACCUUACGCAAUGGGCGAAAGUAUGACGGAGCAACGCCGCGUGAGAGAUGAAGGUCUUCGGAGCGUAAAAAUCUGUUAUGAGGGAAGAACAGAUGUGGAAGGAAAUGUGCACAGCGUGACGGUACCUAAUCAGAAAGCCACGGCUAACUACGUG
Molecule: ribosomal RNA, 497 nt
Filed under: uncultured bacterium
Lineage: Bacteria
Description: partial 16S ribosomal RNA
Rfam family: Bacterial small subunit ribosomal RNA
Source: RNAcentral